GGGUUGUGAGGUUAAGCGACUAAGCGUACACGGUGGAUGCCCUGGCAGUCAGAGGCGAUGAAGGACGUGCUAAUCUGCGAUAAGCGCCGGUAAGGUGAUAUGAACCGUUAUAACCGGCGAUUUCCGAAUGGGGAAACCCAGUGUGAUUCGUCACACUAUCAUUAACUGAAUCCAUAGGUUAAUGAGGCGAACCGGGGGAACUGAAACAUCUAAGUACCCCGAGGAAAAGAAAUCAACCGAGAUUCCCCCAGUAGCGGCGAGCGAACGGGGAGGAGCCCAGAGCCUGAAUCAGCAUGUGUGUUAGUGGAAGCGUCUGGAAAGGCGCGCGAUACAGGGUGACAGCCCCGUACACAAAAGCGCAUGUGCUGUGAGCUCGAUGAGUAGGGCGGGACACGUGGUAUCCUGUCUGAAUAUGGGGGGACCAUCCUCCAAGGCUAA
RNAcentral lists this ribosomal RNA (438 nucleotides) under Salmonella enterica subsp. enterica serovar Typhimurium. RNAcentral describes it as "bacterial LSU rRNA". It matches the Rfam family "Bacterial large subunit ribosomal RNA", at positions 1 to 469 of the family's 2925-position model. The record is from RNAcentral. Lineage: Bacteria; Pseudomonadati; Pseudomonadota; Gammaproteobacteria; Enterobacterales; Enterobacteriaceae.